RNAcentral lists this long non-coding RNA (216 nucleotides) under Brassica rapa (field mustard). RNAcentral's name for it is "long non-coding RNA (BRAP_LNC006480)". The record is from RNAcentral. Lineage: Eukaryota; Viridiplantae; Streptophyta; Magnoliopsida; Brassicales; Brassicaceae.
AAUUUGGUAAUAUUAUCGGCUUCUCUGUCAAGUCCAUCGACCAAUGAAAUUGAAGGAAAUAUAUUCAGUAGCUCUUAUGCGGUUUUAGACUUGGGUUCAAAAUAUGAGAUGGACGAUAAAUUCUCACAUAACCUGAAUAUGAACGUCAAUAAAACCUACUCAAAAAGUUUAAGCCGUAGUGGGAGGAUGACGGACAAAAGAGGAUGUGGAGGCCCA